RNAcentral lists this ribosomal RNA (1063 nucleotides) under uncultured bacterium. RNAcentral describes it as "bacterial SSU rRNA". It matches the Rfam family "Bacterial small subunit ribosomal RNA", at positions 330 to 1398 of the family's 1533-position model. The record is from RNAcentral.
GCCCGACUCCUACGGAGGCAGCAGUGGGAAUUUGGACAUGGGCGCAAGCCGAUCCAGCCAUGCGCGUGUCUGAGAAAGCCUUGGGUUGUAAAGGACUUGUCAGGAANAAAAAGGCGGGGUUAAUACCCCUGUCUGAUGACGGUACNUGAAGAAUAAGCACCGGCUAACUACGUGCCAGCAGCCGCGGUAAUACGUAGGGUGCGAGCGUUAAUCGGAAUUACUGGGCGUAAAGCGGGCGCAGACGGUUACUUAAGCAGGAUGUGAAAUCCCCGGGCUCAACCUGGGAACUGCGUUCUGAACUGGGUGACUAGAGUGUGUCAGAGGGAGGUAGAAUUCCACGUGUAGCAGUGAAAUGCGUAGAGAUGUGGAGGAAUACCGAUGGCGAAGGCAGCCUCCUGGGAUAACACUGACGUUCAUGCCCGAAAGCGUGGGUAGCAAACAGGAUUAGAUACCCUGGUAGUCCACGCCCUAAACGAUGUCGAUUAGCUGUUGGGCAGCAUGACUGCUUAGUAGCGAAGCUAACGCGUGAAAUCGACCGCCUGGGGAGUACGGUCGCAAGAUUAAAACUCAAAGGAAUUGACGGGGACCCGCACAAGCGGUGGAUGAUGUGGAUUAAUUCGAUGCAACGCGAAGAACCUUACCUGGUCUUGACAUGUACGGAACCCUCCAGAGACGGAGGGGUGCCUUCGGGAGCCGUAACACAGGUGCUGCAUGGCUGUCGUCAGCUCGUGUCGUGAGAUGUUGGGUUAAGUCCCGCAACGAGCGCAACCCUUGUCAUUAGUUGCCAUCAUUAAGUUGGGCACUCUAAUGAGACUGCCGGUGACAAGCCGGAGGAAGGUGGGGAUGACGUCAAGUCCUCAUGGCCCUUAUGACCAGGGCUUCACACGUCAUACAAUGGUCGGUACAGAGGGUAGCCAAGCCGCGAGGUGGAGCCAAUCUCACAAAACCGAUCGUAGUCCGGAUUGCACUCUGCAACUCGAGUGCAUGAAGUCGGAAUCGCUAGUAAUCGCAGGUCAGCAUACUGCGGUGAAUACGUUCCCGGGUCUUGCACACACCGCCCGUC